This 376-nucleotide ribosomal RNA is filed under the name uncultured bacterium. RNAcentral describes it as "bacterial SSU rRNA". It matches the Rfam family "Bacterial small subunit ribosomal RNA", at positions 28 to 404 of the family's 1533-position model. The record is from RNAcentral.
GACGAACGCUGGCGGCGUGCUUAACACAUGCAAGUCGAGCGGUAAGGCCCUUUCGGGGUACGACGAGCGGCGAACGGGUGAGUAACACGUGGGUGACCUGCCCUUAGCUCUGGGAUAAGCCUGGGAAACGUGGGUCUAAUACCGGAUAUGACUCCAUGACGCAUGUUGUGGGGUGGAAAGCCUUGUGCGGCUAGGGAUGGGCCCGCGGCCUAUCAGCUUGUUGGUGGGGUGAUGGCCUACCAAGGCGACGACGGGUAGCCGGCCUGAGAGGGCGACCGGCCACACUGGGACUGAGACACGGCCCAGACUCCUACGGGAGGCAGCAGUGGGGAAUCUUGCGCAAUGGGCGAAAGCCUGACGCAGCGACGCCGCGUGA